UGAGGAGUAUUGGACAAUGGAGGCAACUCUGAUCCAGCCAUGCCGCGUGCAGGAAGACUGCCCUAUGGGUUGUAAACUGCUUUUAUACGGGAAGAAACACCGCUACGUG
This 109-nucleotide ribosomal RNA is filed under the name uncultured bacterium. RNAcentral's name for it is "partial 16S ribosomal RNA". It matches the Rfam family "Bacterial small subunit ribosomal RNA", at positions 355 to 462 of the family's 1533-position model. The record is from RNAcentral.